CCUACGGGAUGCUGCAGUGGGGGAUAUUGCACAAUGGGGGAAACCCUGAUGCAGCGACGCCGCGUGUGGGAAGACGGUCCUCUGGAUUGUACACCACUGUCCCCAGGGACGAAGAUGACGGUACCUGGGGAGGAAGCUCCGGCUAACUACGUGCCAGCAGCCGCGGUAAUACGUAGGGAGCGAGGGUUGUCCGGAAUUACUGGGUGUAAGGGGAGCGUAGGCGGGACUGCAAGUUGGGUGUAAAAUCUACCGGCUCAACCGGUAGCCGCACUCAAAACUGCAGUUCUUGAGUGAAGUAGAGGCAGGCGGAAUUCCUAGUGUAGCGGUGAAAUGCGUAGAUAUUAGGAGGAACACCAGUGGCGAAGGCGGCCUGCUGGGCUUUUACUGACGCUGAGGCUCGAAAGUGUGGGGAGCAAACAGGAUUAGAUACCCUUGUAGUC
RNAcentral lists this ribosomal RNA (440 nucleotides) under uncultured bacterium. RNAcentral's name for it is "partial 16S ribosomal RNA". It matches the Rfam family "Bacterial small subunit ribosomal RNA", at positions 338 to 795 of the family's 1533-position model. The record is from RNAcentral.